RNAcentral lists this non-coding RNA (176 nucleotides) under Dichanthelium oligosanthes. RNAcentral describes it as "Bacterial small subunit ribosomal RNA". It matches the Rfam family "Bacterial small subunit ribosomal RNA", at positions 109 to 308 of the family's 1533-position model. The record is from Rfam by way of RNAcentral. Lineage: Eukaryota; Viridiplantae; Streptophyta; Magnoliopsida; Poales; Poaceae.
AGUAACAUGUAAGAAUCUGCCCUCGGGACAGAAAAACAAUUGCAAACAGUUUCUAAUGUCUCAUAGGCUGAGGAGCAAAAGGAGAAAUCUGUCCCAGGAGGGGCUAGCAUCUGAUUAGUUAGUGAGGCAAUGGCUUACUGACAACUAUCAGUAGCAGGUCCGAGAGGAUAACCAGA